CAAUGAAGGAAGCAUGGUAAUGAGCACAGAGAUAGAUUUGGGCCUCUAGGCUGCCUGCCCUUUCCGAUGCCUUUAGGUUUCAGCUUUGAUUUGGGGGCAAGCAAAAUG
Molecule: small nucleolar RNA, 108 nt
Organism: Rhododendron vialii
Lineage: Eukaryota; Viridiplantae; Streptophyta; Magnoliopsida; Ericales; Ericaceae
Product: small nucleolar RNA snoR100
Exons: 1
Source: RefSeq, a predicted model, not a curated record